GACGAACGCUGGCGGCGUGCUUAACACAUGCAAGUCGAACGGAAAGGCCCCUUUGGGGGUCCUCGAGUGGCGAACGGGUGAGUAACACGUGAGUAACCUGCCCUUGACUUCGGGAUAACUUCAGGAAACUGGGGCUAAUACCGGAUAGGAAUCCUUGCUGCAUGGUGGGGGUUGGAAAGCUUCGGCGGUUUUGGAUGGACUCGCGGCUUAUCAGCUUGUUGGUGGGGGAGUGGCUUACCAAGGCUUUGACGGGUAGCCGGCCUGAGAGGGCGACCGGCCACAUUGGGACUGAGAUACGGCCCAGACUCCUACGGGAGGCAGCAGUGGGGAAUAUUGCACAAUGGGCGGAAGCCUGAUGCAGCAACGCCGCGUGCGGGAUGACGGCCUUCGGGUUGUAAACCGCUUUCAGCAGGGGCGAAGCUUGUGGUGACGGUACCUGCAGAAGAAGCACCGGCUAACUACGUG
This 465-nucleotide ribosomal RNA is filed under the name uncultured bacterium. RNAcentral describes it as "partial 16S ribosomal RNA". It matches the Rfam family "Bacterial small subunit ribosomal RNA", at positions 28 to 507 of the family's 1533-position model. The record is from RNAcentral.